Small nucleolar RNA from Lynx canadensis (Canada lynx), 126 nucleotides. Its record names the gene SNORA63. It matches the Rfam family "Small nucleolar RNA SNORA63". From Rfam's summary of the family: E3 belongs to the H/ACA class of snoRNAs and is involved in the processing of eukaryotic pre-rRNA and has regions of complementarity to 18S rRNA. The record is from Ensembl. Lineage: Eukaryota; Metazoa; Chordata; Mammalia; Carnivora; Felidae.
UAGCUGAUAUAGGAUAUAGCUGUUAAGUGCCGUGUUGUCACUCCCCCUGCUCAAAAUAAAGUUGUUUCUUAACUAUACCUGUUUGCUAUACUCCUGUGACAGCAAGGGACACUUGGUCUCAUACAC